This 719-nucleotide ribosomal RNA is filed under the name uncultured Streptococcaceae bacterium. Its description in RNAcentral is "bacterial SSU rRNA". It matches the Rfam family "Bacterial small subunit ribosomal RNA", at positions 89 to 795 of the family's 1533-position model. Lineage: Bacteria; Bacillati; Bacillota; Bacilli; Lactobacillales; Streptococcaceae. The record is from RNAcentral.
UGAUGAGCUGCGAAGCGGGUGAGUAACGCGUAGGUAACCUGACCUCAUAGCGGGGGAUAACUAUUGGAAACGAUAGCUAAUACCGCAUAAGAGUGAUUAACACAUGUUAGUUAUUUAAAAGGAGCAAUUGCUUCACUGUGAGAUGGACCUGCGUUGUAUUAGCUAGUUGGUGAGGUAAAGGCUCACCAAGGCGACGAUACAUAGCCGACCUGAGAGGGUGAUCGGCCACACUGGGACUGAGACACGGCCCAGACUCCUACGGGAGGCAGCAGUAGGGAAUCUUCGGCAAUGGACGGAAGUCUGACCGAGCAACGCCGCGUGAGUGAAGAAGGUUUUCGGAUCGUAAAGCUCUGUUGUUAGAGAAGAACGUUGGUAGGAGUGGAAAAUCUACCAAGUGACGGUAACUAACCAGAAAGGGACGGCUAACUACGUGCCAGCAGCCGCGGUAAUACGUAGGUCCCGAGCGUUGUCCGGAUUUAUUGGGCGUAAAGCGAGCGCAGGCGGUUCUUUAAGUCUGAAGUUAAAGGCAGUGGCUUAACCAUUGUACGCUUUGGAAACUGGAGGACUUGAGUGCAGAAGGGGAGAGUGGAAUUCCAUGUGUAGCGGUGAAAUGCGUAGAUAUAUGGAGGAACACCGGUGGCGAAAGCGGCUCUCUGGUCUGUAACUGACGCUGAGGCUCGAAAGCGUGGGGAGCAACAGGAUUAGAUACCCUGGUAGAU